This 244-nucleotide ribosomal RNA is filed under the name uncultured bacterium. RNAcentral describes it as "partial 16S ribosomal RNA". It matches the Rfam family "Bacterial small subunit ribosomal RNA", at positions 524 to 765 of the family's 1533-position model. The record is from RNAcentral.
UACAGAGGGUGCAAGCGUUAAUCGGAAUUACUGGGCGUAAAGGGUGCGUAGGUGGUUAAUUAAGUCAGAUGUGAAAUCCCAAGGCUUAACCUUGGACUGGCAUUUGAAACUGAUUAGCUAGAGUACAGAAGAGGGAAGUGGAAUUUCCGGUGUAGCGGUGGAAAUGCGUAGAUAUCGGAAAGGAACAUCAGUGGCGAAGGCGACUUCCUGGUCUGUUACUGACACUGAGGCACGAAAGCGUGGG